GGGGAAUCUUGCACAAUGGGGGCAACCCUGAUGCAGCGACGCCGCGUGAGCGAUGAAGCCCUUCGGGGCGUAAAGCUCUUUCGACCGGAACGAUAAUGACGGUACCGGGAGAAGAAGCUGCGGCUAACUACGUGCCAGCAGCCGCGGUAAUACGUAGGCAGCAAGCGUUGUUCGGAGUUACUGGGCGUAAAGAGUGCGUAGGCGGUUUUCUAAGUUCGGUGUGAAAUCUCCCGGCUUAACUGGGAGGGUGCGCCGAAGACUGGGAAGCUGGAGUGUGGGAAGGGCAGGCGGAAUUCCUGGUGUAGCGGUGAAAUGCGUAGAUAUCAGGAGGAACACCGGCGGUGUAGACGGCUUGCUAGACCAUAACUGACGCUGAGGCACGAAAGCGUGGGUAGCAAACA
This 401-nucleotide ribosomal RNA is filed under the name uncultured bacterium. Its description in RNAcentral is "bacterial SSU rRNA". It matches the Rfam family "Bacterial small subunit ribosomal RNA", at positions 356 to 774 of the family's 1533-position model. The record is from RNAcentral.